This 2893-nucleotide ribosomal RNA is filed under the name Pseudomonas syringae. RNAcentral describes it as "23S ribosomal RNA". It matches the Rfam family "Bacterial large subunit ribosomal RNA". RNAcentral also lists the same sequence under 2 other names. Lineage: Bacteria; Pseudomonadati; Pseudomonadota; Gammaproteobacteria; Pseudomonadales; Pseudomonadaceae. The record is from RNAcentral.
GGUCAAGUGAAGAAGCGCAUACGGUGGAUGCCUUGGCAGUCAGAGGCGAUGAAAGACGUGGUAGCCUGCGAAAAGCUUCGGGGAGUCGGCAAACAGACUGUGAUCCGGAGAUGUCUGAAUGGGGGAACCCAGCCAUCAUAAGAUGGUUAUCUUACACUGAAUACAUAGGUGUAAGAGGCGAACCAGGGGAACUGAAACAUCUAAGUACCCUGAGGAAAAGAAAUCAACCGAGAUUCCCUUAGUAGUGGCGAGCGAACGGGGACCAGCCCUUAAGUUGUAUUGAGAUUAGCGGAACGCUCUGGAAAGUGCGGCCAUAGUGGGUGAUAGCCCUGUACGCGAAAAUCCCUUUGCAAUGAAAUCGAGUAGGACGGGGCACGAGAAACCUUGUCUGAAUAUGGGGGGACCAUCCUCCAAGGCUAAAUACUACUGACUGACCGAUAGUGAACCAGUACCGUGAGGGAAAGGCGAAAAGAACCGCGGAGAGCGGAGUGAAAUAGAUCCUGAAACCGUAUGCGUACAAGCAGUGGGAGCCCACUUUGUUGGGUGACUGCGUACCUUUUGUAUAAUGGGUCAGCGACUUAUUUUCAGUGGCGAGCUUAACCGAAUAGGGGAGGCGUAGCGAAAGCGAGUCUUAAUAGGGCGUCUAGUCGCUGGGAAUAGACCCGAAACCGGGCGAUCUAUCCAUGGGCAGGUUGAAGGUUGGGUAACACUAACUGGAGGACCGAACCGACUACCGUUGAAAAGUUAGCGGAUGACCUGUGGAUCGGAGUGAAAGGCUAAUCAAGCUCGGAGAUAGCUGGUUCUCCUCGAAAGCUAUUUAGGUAGCGCCUCAUGUAUCACUGUAGGGGGUAGAGCACUGUUUCGGCUAGGGGGUCAUCCCGACUUACCAAACCGAUGCAAACUCCGAAUACCUACAAGUGCCGAGCAUGGGAGACACACGGCGGGUGCUAACGUCCGUCGUGAAAAGGGAAACAACCCAGACCGUCAGCUAAGGUCCCAAAGUCAUGGUUAAGUGGGAAACGAUGUGGGAAGGCUUAGACAGCUAGGAGGUUGGCUUAGAAGCAGCCACCCUUUAAAGAAAGCGUAAUAGCUCACUAGUCGAGUCGGCCUGCGCGGAAGAUGUAACGGGGCUCAAACCAUGCACCGAAGCUACGGGUAUCACCUUUGGUGAUGCGGUAGAGGAGCGUUCUGUAAGCCUGUGAAGGUGAGUUGAGAAGCUUGCUGGAGGUAUCAGAAGUGCGAAUGCUGACAUGAGUAACGACAAUGGGUGUGAAAAACACCCACGCCGAAAGACCAAGGUUUCCUGCGCAACGUUAAUCGACGCAGGGUUAGUCGGUCCCUAAGGCGAGGCUGAAAAGCGUAGUCGAUGGAAAACAGGUUAAUAUUCCUGUACUUCUGGUUAUUGCGAUGGAGGGACGGAGAAGGCUAGGCCAGCCUGGCGUUGGUAGUCCAGGUUUAAGGUGGUAGGCUGAGAUCUUAGGUAAAUCCGGGAUCUUAAGGCCGAGAGCUGAUGACGAGUGUUCUUUUAGAACAUGAAGUGGUUGAUGCCAUGCUUCCAAGAAAAGCUUCUAAGCUUCAGGUAACCAGGAACCGUACCCCAAACCGACACAGGUGGUUGGGUAGAGAAUACCAAGGCGCUUGAGAGAACUCGGGUGAAGGAACUAGGCAAAAUGGCACCGUAACUUCGGGAGAAGGUGCGCCGGUGAGGGUGAAGCAUUUACUGCGUAAGCCCACGCCGGUCGAAGAUACCAGGCCGCUGCGACUGUUUAUUAAAAACACAGCACUCUGCAAACACGAAAGUGGACGUAUAGGGUGUGACGCCUGCCCGGUGCCGGAAGGUUAAUUGAUGGGGUUAGCGCAAGCGAAGCUCUUGAUCGAAGCCCCGGUAAACGGCGGCCGUAACUAUAACGGUCCUAAGGUAGCGAAAUUCCUUGUCGGGUAAGUUCCGACCUGCACGAAUGGCGUAACGAUGGCGGCGCUGUCUCCACCCGAGACUCAGUGAAAUUGAAAUCGCUGUGAAGAUGCAGUGUAUCCGCGGCUAGACGGAAAGACCCCGUGAACCUUUACUAUAGCUUUGCACUGGACUUUGAAUUUGCUUGUGUAGGAUAGGUGGGAGGCUUUGAAGCGUGGACGCCAGUCUGCGUGGAGCCAACCUUGAAAUACCACCCUGGCAACUUUGAGGUUCUAACUCAGGUCCGUUAUCCGGAUCGAGGACAGUGUAUGGUGGGUAGUUUGACUGGGGCGGUCUCCUCCUAAAGAGUAACGGAGGAGUACGAAGGUGCGCUCAGACCGGUCGGAAAUCGGUCGUAGAGUAUAAAGGCAAAAGCGCGCUUGACUGCGAGACAGACACGUCGAGCAGGUACGAAAGUAGGUCUUAGUGAUCCGGUGGUUCUGUAUGGAAGGGCCAUCGCUCAACGGAUAAAAGGUACUCCGGGGAUAACAGGCUGAUACCGCCCAAGAGUUCAUAUCGACGGCGGUGUUUGGCACCUCGAUGUCGGCUCAUCACAUCCUGGGGCUGAAGCCGGUCCCAAGGGUAUGGCUGUUCGCCAUUUAAAGUGGUACGCGAGCUGGGUUUAGAACGUCGUGAGACAGUUCGGUCCCUAUCUGCCGUGGACGUUUGAGAUUUGAGAGGGGCUGCUCCUAGUACGAGAGGACCGGAGUGGACGAACCUCUGGUGUUCCGGUUGUCACGCCAGUGGCAUUGCCGGGUAGCUAUGUUCGGAAAAGAUAACCGCUGAAAGCAUCUAAGCGGGAAACUUGCCUCAAGAUGAGAUCUCACUGGAACCUUGAGUUCCCUGAAGGGCCGUCGAAGACUACGACGUUGAUAGGUUGGGUGUGUAAGCGCUGUGAGGCGUUGAGCUAACCAAUACUAAUUGCCCGUGAGGCUUGACCAU